Molecule: ribosomal RNA, 496 nt
Filed under: uncultured bacterium
Lineage: Bacteria
Description: partial 16S ribosomal RNA
Rfam family: Bacterial small subunit ribosomal RNA
Source: RNAcentral
GAUGAACGCUGGCGGCGUGCCUAAUACAUGCAAGUCGAGCGAACAGACGAGGAGCUUGCUCCUCUGACGUUAGCGGCGGACGGGUGAGUAACACGUGGAUAACCUACCUAUAAGACUGGGAUAACUUCGGGAAACCGGAGCUAAUACCGGAUAAUAUAUUGAACCGCAUGGUUCAAUAGUGAAAGACGGUUUUGCUGUCACUUAUAGAUGGAUCCGCGCCGCAUUAGCUAGUUGGUAAGGUAACGGCUUACCAAGGCAACGAUGCGUAGCCGACCUGAGAGGGUGAUCGCCAACACUGAAACGGAACCAGGGCCAGCCCCCCUAGGGGGGGCAGAAGUGGGGAAUCUCCCGCAAUGGGAGAAAGUUGGACGGAGCCACGCCGGGGGAGUAAGAAGGUUCUCGGGAUCGAAACACUUUUUUUUGGGGAAAAAAAAAAUGUAAAAGAAAUUAUCCCCGUCUGGAGGGUCCCAAUAAAGAAACCCGCGCCAACCUCCGU